GCACCAGACUCCUACGGGAGGCAGCAGUGGGGAAUAUUGCACAAUGGGGGGAACCCUGACGCAGCAACGCCGCGUGGGUGAAGAAGUACUCCGGUAUGUAAAGCCCUGUCAGCAGGGAAGAAAAUGACGGUACCUGACCAAGAAGCCCCGGCUAACUACGUGCCAGCAGCCGCGGUAAUACGUAGGGGGCAAGCGUUAUCCGGAUUUACUGGGUGUAAAGGGAGCGCAGGCGGCACGGCAAGCCUGAUGUGAAAGCCCGCGGCCCAACCGCGGGACUGCAUUGGGAACUACCGGGCUGGAGUGCCGGAGAGGUAGGCGGAAUUCCUAGUGUAGCGGUGAAAUGCGUAGAUAUUAGGAGGAACACCAGUGGCGAAGGCGGCCUACUGGACGGUGACUGACGCUGAGGCUCGAAAGCGUGGGGAGCAAACAGGAUUAGAUACCCGGGUA
This 447-nucleotide ribosomal RNA is filed under the name uncultured bacterium. RNAcentral describes it as "bacterial SSU rRNA". It matches the Rfam family "Bacterial small subunit ribosomal RNA", at positions 328 to 792 of the family's 1533-position model. The record is from RNAcentral.